UAGGGAAUCUUCGGCAAUGGGGGCAACCCUGACCGAGCAACGCCGCGUGAGUGAAGAAGGUUUUCGGAUCGUAAAGCUCUGUUGUAAGAGAAGAACGUGUGUGAGAGUGGAAAGUUCACACAGUGACGGUAACUUACCAGAAGGGGACGGCUAACUACGUGCCAGCAGCCGCGGUAAUACGUAGUUCCCGAGCGUUGUCCGGAUUUAUUGGGCGUAAAGCGAGCGCAGGCGGUUUAAUAAGUCUGAAGUUAAAGGCAGUGGCUUAACCAUUGUUCGCUUUGGAAACUGUUAAACUUGAGUGCAGAAGGGGAGAGUGGAAUUCCAUGUGUAGCGGUGAAAUGCGUAGAUAUAUGGAGGAACACCGGUGGCGAAAGCGGCUCUCUGGUCUGUAACUGACGCUGAGGCUCGAAAGCGUGGGGAGCAAACAGG
This 429-nucleotide ribosomal RNA is filed under the name bacterium. RNAcentral describes it as "partial 16S ribosomal RNA". It matches the Rfam family "Bacterial small subunit ribosomal RNA", at positions 355 to 776 of the family's 1533-position model. The record is from RNAcentral.